Molecule: ribosomal RNA, 2899 nt
Filed under: Morganella morganii subsp. morganii
Lineage: Bacteria; Pseudomonadati; Pseudomonadota; Gammaproteobacteria; Enterobacterales; Morganellaceae
Description: 23S ribosomal RNA
Rfam family: Bacterial large subunit ribosomal RNA
Source: RNAcentral
GGUUAAGCGAAUAAGCGUACACGGUGGAUGCCUAGGCAGUCAGAGGCGAUGAAGGACGUGCUAAUCUGCGAUAAGCGCCGGUAAGGUGAUAUGAACCGUUAUAACCGGCGAUUUCCGAAUGGGGAAACCCAGUGCAAUUCGUUGCACUAUCAUUACCUGAAUACAUAGGGUAAUGAAGCGAACCGGGAGAACUGAAACAUCUAAGUACCCCGAGGAAAAGAAAUCAAACGAGAUUCCCCAGUAGCGGCGAGCGAACGGGGAGCAGCCCAGGACCUUAAUCAGCAUCAGUGUUAAGAGAACAGUCUGGAAAGGCUGGCCACAGCAGGUGAUAGCCCUGUAUCUGAAAGCACUGGUGUUGUGAGUCCGAUGAGUAAGGCGGGACACGUGUUAUCCUGUCUGAAUACGGGGGGACCAUCCUCCAAGGCUAAAUACUCCUGACUGACCGAUAGUGAACCAGUACCGUGAGGGAAAGGCGAAAAGAACCCCGGCGAGGGGAGUGAAAAAGAACCUGAAACCGUGUACGUACAAGCAGUGGGAGCACCUUUAUGGUGUGACUGCGUACCUUUUGUAUAAUGGGUCAGCGACUUAUAUUCUGUAGCAAGGUUAACCGGAUAGGGGAGCCGCAGGGAAACCGAGUCUUAACUGGGCGAAUUAGUUGCAGGGUAUAGACCCGAAACCCGGUGAUCUAGCCAUGGGCAGGUUGAAGGUUGGGUAACACUAACUGGAGGACCGAACCGACUAAUGUUGAAAAAUUAGCGGAUGACUUGUGGCUGGGGGUGAAAGGCCAAUCAAACCGGGAGAUAGCUGGUUCUCCCCGAAAGCUAUUUAGGUAGCGCCUCGUGAAUUCAUCUCCGGGGGUAGAGCACUGUUUCGGCUAGGGGGUCAUCCCGACUUACCAACCCGAUGCAAACUGCGAAUACCGGAGAAUGUUAUCACGGGAGACACACGGCGGGUGCUAACGUUCGUCGUGAAGAGGGAAACAACCCAGACCGCCGGCUAAGGUCCCAAAGUCAUAAUUAGUGGGAAACGAAGUGGGAAGGCUCAGACAGCCAGGAUGUUGGCUUAGAAGCAGCCAUCAUUUAAAGAAAGCGUAAUAGCUCACUGGUCGAGUCGGCCUGCGCGGAAGAUGUAACGGGGCUAAAUUAUGCACCGAAGCCGCGGCAGCGAUAUGUAAAUAUUGUUGGGUAGGGGAGCGUUCUGUAAGCCUGUGAAGGUGGCCUGUGAGGGCUGCUGGAGGUAUCAGAAGUGCGAAUGCUGACAUAAGUAACGAUAAUGCGGGUGAAAAACCCGCACGCCGGAAGACCAAGGGUUCCUGUCCAACGUUAAUCGGGGCAGGGUGAGUCGACCCCUAAGGCGAGGCUGAAAAGCGUAGUCGAUGGGCAACGGGUUAAUAUUCCCGUACUGGUGGUAACUGCGAAGGGGACGGAGAAAGCUAAAUCAUCCGGGCGACGGUUGUCCCGGUUUAAGCGUGCAGGUGGACUGACCAGGCAAAUCCGGUCGGUUGUUAACACUGAGGCGUGACGACGAGCCACUACGGUGGUGAAGUGAUUGAUGCUCUGCUUCCGGGAAAAGCCUCUAAGCUCCAGGUUACCAUUAAUCGUACCCCAAACCGACACAGGUGGUCAGGUAGAGAAUACUCAGGCGCUUGAGAGAACUCGGGUGAAGGAACUAGGCAAAAUGGUGCCGUAACUUCGGGAGAAGGCACGCUGGCAUUAGGUGAAGUGGUUUACCCAUGGAGCUGAAGCCAGCCGCAGAUACCAGCUGGCUGCAACUGUUUAUUAAAAACACAGCACUGUGCAAACACGAAAGUGGACGUAUACGGUGUGACGCCUGCCCGGUGCCGGAAGGUUAAUUGAUGAGGUCAGCCGCAAGGCGAAGCUUCUGAUCGAAGCCCGGUAAACGGCCGCCGUAACUAUAACGGUCCUAAGGUAGCGAAAUUCCUUGUCGGGUAAGUUCCGACCUGCACGAAUGGCGUAAUGAUGGCCAGGCUGUCUCCACCCGAGACUCAGUGAAAUUGAACUCGCUGUGAAGAUGCAGUGUACCCGCGGCAAGACGGAAAGACCCCGUGAACCUUUACUAUAGCUUGACACUGAACAUUGAGCCUUGAUGUGUAGGAUAGGUGAGGCAAUGAAGUGUGGACGCCAGUCUGCACGGAGCCAUCCUUGAAAUACCACCCUUUAACGUUUGAUGUUCUAACCCGGGUCCAUAAUCUGGAUCGGGGACCGUGUCUGGUGGGUAGUUUGACUGGGGCGGUCUCCUCCCAAAGAGUAACGGAGGAGCACGAAGGUUGGCUAAGCAUGGUCGGACAUCAUGCGGUUAGUGCAAGGCAUAAGCCAGCUUGACUGCGAGAGUGACGGCUCGAGCAGGUACGAAAGUAGGUCUUAGUGAUCCGGUGGUUCUGAAUGGAAGGGCCAUCGCUCAACGGAUAAAAGGUACUCGGGGAUAACAGGCUGAUACCGCCCAAGAGUUCAUAUCGACGGCGGUGUUUGGCACCUCGAUGUCGGCUCAUCACAUCCUGGGGCUGAAGUAGGUCCCAAGGGUAUGGCUGUUCGCCAUUUAAAGUGGUACGCGAGCUGGGUUUAGAACGUCGUGAGACAGUUCGGUCCCUAUCUGCCGUGGGCGCUGGAAGAUUGAGAGGGGUUGCUCCUAGUACGAGAGGACCGGAGUGAACGCACCACUGGUGUACGGGUUGUGAUGCCAAUUGCAUUGCCCGGUAGCUAAGUGCGGAAGAGAUAACCGCUGAAAGCAUCUAAGCGGGAAACUUGCCUCGAGAUGAGUCUUCCCUGACCCUUUAAGGGUCCUGAAGGAACGUUUGAGACUAAGACGUUGAUAGGCUGGGUGUGUAAGCGCAGCGAUGCGUUGAGCUGACCAGUACUAAUGAACCGUGAGGCUUAACCUG